CCUCACACAUUUGCAAACAUACUAUUAAACUUUAAUUUUAACAAUUUAUUAUACUUUCUAAACUUUCUCAGAUAAUUUAAUAGGUCAUCUCUUACUAAUUAAAAUUUUCAUGUAUUUAAUUACUGUAGCAAACUCUAUGCAUAAAUAAUAUUUUUUCAAAAUUUAAGUUAUCAAAGAAUGGUAUAUUUAAUACGAUGUUUUUAGUAUUUAUAUUCAACACUUCCACUUAUGUUGGACUCGAGACUGUGAGACCGUUUGAAAGACACAAGACACAAACUUGAAAUAAAUGAGAAAAAAUUAAAUCACACUAGGAGUAUGAUGGGACUCGAACAUAGAAUUUUUUGUUCUGAUACCAUGUUAAAUUAUGUAAAACAAUUCUUUUUCACUAAAAGUUUAAGCUAUUAGAUAACUAUAUUUUUAAUAUUUAUAUUCAACAAAAAGCAAAUGUAAAUAGAGAUAUUUGAAUCCCAAUAUGUAUUUGAAGGGAAACCGAAUUCAAAUUCAAAUUCAAAUCUAAAAAAAUAUAAAUUUACUAUCGAAUUCAAAUCCUAAUUGAAUCAAAUAGCCAAUUUCAAUAUGCGAAUUCGACUCUCAUCGAAUUCAGCUUCAAAUUCGAUCGAGUAAUAUCUGAACCGUUUCACUCAAAAAUAAGUGUCCAUAUCUUGUAGUCACAACAUCUUAAUAACCAUUUUCUAAAGAUUAAUUGGAUUGUUGACUUAAAAGUAAAUUGGAAUAAAGCGCAUUCAACUUCUAUUCACUUCAUUCAUAAAGCAGGUAGCACACUAUUCACUUCAUUCAUAAAGAAAAUGAAUUAGGCUACAAGAAUAAGACAGCUGAGGCCUCAAGAGGGGGAGAGAGAAGCCAAUUAAUACGGCUUUCGAAUAAAUCUGUAACAAUCCAGCCCACUAGCAAUAAUAACUCGUUGGGCCCAACCUCCGGCCCAAAAUGCUUAAGCCCAGUUAUUAUUAUUAGUAUCUAAGUCUUUUAUGUACCCAAUCACAUUCACAUUCCUAUCCGAUGUGGGAUUAUUGUCUCUUAUAUACCCAAUCACAUUCUCAUUCCUAUCCGAUGUGGGAUUAUUUGUCAUCCAGACCCUGGUACCCUGGUAUACCAGGGUCACCUUGUCAUUCAGACUCCGCCAUAACCCAUCACCUUGUCUUUCAGACCUUGGCUCAGCCGAGACUCGCCACUCG
Molecule: long non-coding RNA, 1193 nt
Filed under: Ananas comosus (pineapple)
Lineage: Eukaryota; Viridiplantae; Streptophyta; Magnoliopsida; Poales; Bromeliaceae
Description: long non-coding RNA (ACOM_LNC016814)
Source: RNAcentral